This is a long non-coding RNA of Gambusia affinis (western mosquitofish), 2705 nucleotides long. RefSeq lists it as uncharacterized. NCBI's taxonomy places the organism in Eukaryota, Metazoa, Chordata, Actinopteri, Cyprinodontiformes, Poeciliidae. The transcript has 4 exons. The record is from RefSeq and is a predicted model, not a curated record.
UACAUGCUUUCCAAAACAGACGUAAAAUGUCUAAAUAAGUAAACUGUACAAUUUCUAGCCUUGCUUUUACAGCUUAAAGCGUAGUUAGGUUGCACUGCGGCUUAAAUUUCUUUGUGGCACAAGCCAACGAAACCCGACUCCUGUUUUAACAAAUAUGUUCCUCUGUGUCAAAUGAAACAGAUAGCUCAAUAUGUGGCUCCUCUGGGGCUGAGGGAAAAUUACAGCAGUCAUGAACGGGGCUGAAACACUGUAGAUAAGGGAGGGAGGCUCUCCUUCACAUAUGCUGGUUCCUACAGGUGGUUUUAAAGCCUUAUCCUGUAAACAGACUUCGAGGAGGGGAGCUUAACUGUCUUCACACCAGGCACGAUCUUGAAAUAUAAACUGUGGUGCAACAGUUGAGUCUCUUCCAAGACAAACAGACCUUCUUCUAGUCAAAUCAAAAAGAGUGCCCCUGAUUAUUAACCCACCAGAGACAUUCUUCCUUCCUCUGCAGUUCAAAGGAGAUUGAGGCUGACGCCAGAGGCCAGAUCAAUUAUCCGGAGCAGCCAUUUCCACUGUCCUCUCCCACUGACAAGCCAGAAAAUCUGGGCCCUAUCAAAGGCUGGAGAGACCAUCAGCCAGCCAAAUGAGAACAUGCCAAGGAGGAUCAAAAUCACGGCGAUAUCUCCAACCACAUGGUCCUAAAGACUAGAGGAGAGGACACUUCACUCCAUUCAUUCCAAUACUGGUCCAAUCAACGAUCAGUAAGGCAUAGAAGUUCUAAAGAGGAAUAAACAUGAACGAAGCAGACAUGGAUGCUUUAGGCUGGAAUGUGUGUAUAUGUAAGAACUCCCUAUAAAAGGGAGGAAUGUUGCUUUUAAACAAGAACAUUCUCCAGGUCCAGCCUGCGAUGGUGAGCUCGUCUCCAUGCGUGGCUCUGAGGAAGGAGGAUGUUUGGCCAUAGCACACAUAGCUGUCGUGUUCAACAAGACAUUCUGCUGAGUCAUGCUUCCAGCAUUAGAUAGUUAUUUAAUUCUUCUGUGCCUGUAUUUUUAGGGUCGUCCAAUCUACAAUUUGUCUUCCACAACAAUUCAGAGUGCAGAUUCCAUUACAGAUUAACUCAAUAGAUGCCGUGAAAAGAUGCAGAUGUUUGUUAUCUGGCACACUUUGAUGUUUUAGCUCAAAACUAUUUAAAUUCAACCAGACUAAAAAUUCCAUCACGCAUAAACAAAACAAAUUGUUUUGGCAUUAUGAUUAUAUUAAAUAAGUUAAAAAGCAAUCCAAACCAACCUGGCUCUGUGUGAAUCACACUAAAAAAGGUUGAUGGAAACAGCAAAAUUCAAAAUAACUUCUUCAGUUUCAGAAAACAGUUUUCACUUUCACUUGAGGAGGGGUUUUUUAGGUUUUUUUUUGGGCUUUUCAGGACAAGUGUUAUUUUGCUAACGUGGAUAUAGAAAUACAUUUGCUGAAUAAGUUGAGAUGUAGCAAAUAUUUAACCUCACACAACUGAUCAGUUAUUUCUGGCGUCUCCAGACAUAAUGCAACCUUGCCAAUGCUGGUUGAGGUUACAGAAUAACCCAUUCCUGAAAAGCUCUCUCUGUUUUUCUGAGAUGUGUGGUUCAUGCUGGUUUGCAACCACUUCUACUACUUCCUGUUUUUACAGCAUUGCUAAACAUCAACAUCUAACAAGACCCUGAAUGCACAGCCUGGUUGAUUCGCUCCAAACCAGAACAUGGAAAUGUGCUUAAUUCUAAUUUUCUGUUUUUGAGACACGACAUUUGGAUGGAAACAUAACUACUGAUUCAAAGUAAACCAAUAAGUCCAGAAUCUUAGUUUAACAUAAAAUUUAUUUAUUAUUAUUAUUAUAAUAAUAAUAAUAAAAAAAGUAAGAUUUGAAAUGUUAAAAACCAGACUUAAAUUUUGCUCAACAACCUUCCAUCCUGGCCAAAUUACAAUAAUUCUAUAAAGAAGAGUGGAGGUCAGUUUGAACAGCAUUUUUUCCUUAAUGAAAUACAACCCUCAAAUGAAAACUACUGCUGUUUAUAAUCUAUUUUUCCACCCAAAAGACAAAAAAAAAUUUUACAUUGGAUUUAUUGAUUUAUUUUUUUUGCACCACGUGUUUCGAUAACCCCGAAUGACACAGGCUAAAGAGAGGAGUCAAAACAAACAAUAGAGGUGACAGUAAGGGGCAGAGGGAGGAGGCUGAAGGCUGUUUGUAGGACAUUACAGCCCCUCCACCCCAACCGAAAGUCCUCAUGAUCAACCUGCCGAGCCACAGCUUGCUGUUUGGAUGUGGUGUCGAUGUCUGCCAUCACGCAUCACCGCAAGCAGCAUAAACACAAGGAAGAGGACCACACCUGGAUCCAGGCGGGUCUAAGAAUGAAAAAUCACAGUGGGCCACACUCUGCUCCAGACAACAGCAUAGAGACUAAUUGUUUUAUGUAUGAGCUAAACAUUUCAGACAAGCAUGUCUCACAAUGAAGUCAAAGACGAAUGGCUGCUGGUCCAGACACUGGUCCCAGAUUAUGAAAAAAGAAAAAACAACAAAACUCUUCAACAGUAAAACAGAAGGACUCUAGAAGCUUUAAAUAACAAACAGGGCUAGAAAGAAUGUCCUAAAAUAAUAUAAAGAAGGUUCCAUUGGUUAAUGAUUGAAUGGUGGAUAAUAAUUGCACUGACACAAACGGUAGACUCAACCAAGGCCACUUCACAUAGAAACAAGAAUG